RNAcentral lists this ribosomal RNA (515 nucleotides) under uncultured bacterium. RNAcentral's name for it is "bacterial SSU rRNA". It matches the Rfam family "Bacterial small subunit ribosomal RNA", at positions 61 to 586 of the family's 1533-position model. The record is from RNAcentral.
GUCAAGGGGGCCCAGCGAUGGGCAACCGGCGAACGGGUGCGUAACACGUGAGCAACCUACCGAACUGUGGGGGAUAGCCGGCCUAACGGCCGAGUAAUACCGCAUACGCUUUCAGUGAGGCAUUUCAUUGAAAGGAAACCUACGGGACAGAUCGAGGGGCUCGCGGCCUAUCAGCUAGUUGGCGAGGUAACGGCUCACCAAGGCAACGACGGGUAGCUGGUCUGAGAGGAUGGCCAGCCACAUUGGGACUGAGAUACGGCCCAGACUCCUACGGGAGGCAGCAGUGGGGAAUCUUGCGCAAUGGCCUAACGGCUGACGCAGCGACGCCGCGUGUGGGAUGAAGCUCUUCGGAGUGUAAACCACUGUUGCCCGGGACGAACAGCUCGAUUAAUCGAGCCUGACGGUACCGGGUGAGGAAGCACCGGCUAACUCCGUGCCAGCAGCCGCGGUAAUACGGGGGGUGCGAGCGUUGUCCGGAAUCACUGGGCGUAAAGGGCGCGUAGGUGGUUUGAUAA